Molecule: ribosomal RNA, 237 nt
Filed under: uncultured bacterium
Lineage: Bacteria
Description: partial 16S ribosomal RNA
Rfam family: Bacterial small subunit ribosomal RNA
Source: RNAcentral
AAUCAACGCUGGCGGCGUGCCUAACACAUGCAAGUCGAACGAGAAAGUGGAGCAAUCCAUGAGUACAGUGGCGUACGGGUGAGUAACACGUGACUAACCUACCCUCGAGUGGGGAAUAACCUCGGGAAACCGGGGCUAAUACCGCAUAACAUCUUCGGAUCAAAUGCGUAAGCAAGCUUGGGGAGGGGUCGCGGCCGAUAGCUAGUUGGUGAGGUAAUGGCUCACCAAGGCAAUGAU